RNA transcript from Ipomoea nil (Japanese morning glory), 2788 nucleotides. RefSeq lists it as uncharacterized. The record is from RefSeq and is a predicted model, not a curated record. The transcript has 5 exons. NCBI's taxonomy places the organism in Eukaryota, Viridiplantae, Streptophyta, Magnoliopsida, Solanales, Convolvulaceae.
GCAGAUGCCAGAUGUCUGCUUUCCUUCGCUCAUCCGUGUACUAUCUCUCGCUGCCUCUCGAUUAUCUCUCGCCUUUGUCUAGUCUAUCUCUCUCUCUAUACAUCGAGAAACUCUAUCUAUACUGCUAGUGAAGUACUUAUCUGGAAAGCAUACAUAUGUAUACACAGAGUUCGGAAGAGCAAUUCGAGAUGGGUGAUCUAUUCAACUAUGCUUCAAAAAAGAUAAGUUUCUUUCUAGCAUCAGACGACUAAUCUGUGGUGGUUUUCAUAUGUUGCGUCUGUGAACUCUACUUCUUUUAGUAUUGUAAAUUUUUUUUAUGAAAAUUAAGAAUUAACAUACCUGUGUUGUAUUCUUCACACUUGCGUUUAGUAUUCUUCACACUUGCGUUUAGUUCUUGUGUGAAUUUUUUUUUUUUUUUUUUUUUUUUUUUGCUUUUACAUUCUUUUUACACUAUUGAUGUUGAAUGUUGACACAAUUCUGUUUUGUAACUCUACAGCAUGUACCAUGGCAUUGUGUCAGAAUAGUAUAUUGAUAGAAAAAUGUGUAAUGACUUGUAAGGUUAAUUUGCAUAUACUACCAUGCUAUAGCUCAAAUUUUUUAACAAAUGUUGAAGUCCUUAUACCCCUAUUUUGCUUUGACUUUAAUUUGCAGUCCUUGGUUAGAAUUCAAAAUAUUCUUGUAUGUAUUUUCCAAAACAGUCCUAUAUUUUAUGUUCUGGUCAAGUCUUAGAAAGUACAAUAAUCUUAGCAAUUGAACUUUUAGCUGAUAUUGAGUUAAUCUAAGUUUUCCUUUUUUUUUUUUUCUUUAUGUUGUAUGUCAAUGUUGUGUGCAUUUUUAUUUGCAUAUUACAUGUUGUAAAAAUUGUUUUAAAAACUGUCACAGAUACAAUAUGCACUUGGCAGUGCAUAUCGUAAGAAACUGUAUCCAAAAAACAACACAAAGAUACAUAGAGUAGUGCAUAUAGAUAUAUAAAUUACAGAAACAAUUUUGUAAUAAAUUCAAAUAGAAGAAAAUUAGAAAAUUAAAUUAGGCUUGUAGGCUUGUAGAAGGUUUUGAUAUAUGAAAUGUCUUCUUUAAUAAAACUAAGCCUAAAUAGAAUAUAAUUUGAGUAUAAAUCAUAACCACAGUAGGUCCAAACUAUGAGUGACUAAUGGCAAGAAGCAUGAAUACUCUAUACACCUGCUUCCUGUAGAAUGUUAUACACUGCAUAGUUCUUUGCUACAUAAGACUAUACACAAUGUUGUCCCCAACCAUUGUAUUUAAUUAUUAAAUACAUGUACAACAUAUAUUCUUUGCUUCUUAAUUUAUUUUUUUUCACUGAUUGCUUACCUCAACUUUCUAUGCCUGCAAAUCCUUAGGAAUGUCUUCCGAUGCUUCACAGUUCUUUUCAUCACAUUCAGAUAUCUAUUGCAUAGCCAUCCCUCUGCAAUUCUCCCAACUCAAAUGGAGGAUACUCAUUUCCAUGUAAAAAAAGAACUUAGUAAAAGUAGAAAUAUUGAAACCAUUAAAGAAACAAAAGAACAUAGUAAAAAGAAAAUUAACUUGACAUACUUGACCUUUAAUUCAGAUGCUAAAACACCAAGGUCUUUUAGGAAUGUUUGCAUGAACAUACGUGCACUAUAAAGAAAUAAAGAAUUAUUUUCUAAACACAGUUAAUUAUUUGCAGGUAUAGUAUAAUAAAAAUUACCUCCAUCUCGUGGAAGACACAUUCUUGAAUCUUUAUCAAAUCUGUGUUUAGAUCUUCAGGUGUUCUAUAUUGGAUGCUUAAUCUUCAAGAAAAUGUCUUCUUCCUCAUCGUGAAUGCUUUCCCAGCAUGCUAUAUGCAUCUCCACCAUUUUCGUCCACUCUCCAUCUUCAUGAAAAUGUUGUCUGAAUUGUGGAGGAACAGGGAGGUCAACAACACUAGAUUUGAAGGCAGACCCAAAAUCAUUAAAUCACACAGCAUGGAUAUUACCUGGAACACCAGAAAUCACACAGCAGACCAAUUAGUAAGCAAUGAAAUAUCCUCAUCAUUAAGCACCAUGGCUUUUGUAAGUGUAUACCUUUCCCAUCUCCUUGUGCGUCUGCUACAUCAUCUCCUCAGUAUCCUCCUCCACAGAAACGAAUAGUCUAAUACAAAAAAUUAGAUAAAUAAAUAGAAACCAAACAUGAAUAUAUAGUAGUAAUUAAACAAAAAAAAAACACUGAAUAAUUAGUAGAUAAUAUAGGUGAGAAGAAAUAGAAACCAAACAUGAAUAUAUAGUAGUAAUUAAACAAAAAAAAAAAAAAACACUGAAUAAUUAGUAGAUAAUAUAGGUGAGAAUAGAAAUGUUUCCAGAAAAAUGUGCUUUAGCAAUACUGAGAUCGCAGGUGUUCUCACCGUAAUCUUCAAGCACCUGUGUUUUAUCAAUACUGAGAUGACAUAGUAUCUUUGCCCAGAUUUUUGGUUCUUUGUUUGCAUACUUGCAGGUAGUUCAAACUGGAGAGAUGGUGAACUUGUGAGUGAUUAUUGAUAUCAAGCUUUAUAUAGAGACCGAAAUUUGUUUUUCAAUUUUGAAUAUUGUCUUGGAACUAUGAAGGCUGCUGGAAACGUUUCAAGACCCAAGAUUACAUUCAAUAGAUAAUGUUUUCGAAGCAUUUUCUCGUAUAGAGAUGUGUAACAGUCGUAUGUGUAUAUCUGUCUCUUUAUAUAUGUAAAUAAAUGUAGAUUAUAGGUUAGCUUCUCAAUGUAGAACUCUUUGACUAUUAGAAGUCUAUUAAUUUACAUCGGUAAUAGACAAUAUUAGGCCACAAUUAAUUCGGCUGUUGA